Molecule: ribosomal RNA, 468 nt
Filed under: uncultured bacterium
Lineage: Bacteria
Description: partial 16S ribosomal RNA
Rfam family: Bacterial small subunit ribosomal RNA
Source: RNAcentral
GACGAACGCUGGCGGCGUGCUUAACACAUGCAAGUCGAACGGAAAGGCCCUGCUUUUGUGGGGUGCUCGAGUGGCGAACGGGUGAGUAACACGUGAGUAACCUGCCCUUGACUUUGGGAUAACUUCAGGAAACUGGGGCUAAUACCAGAUAGGAGCUCCUGCUGCAUGGUGGGGGUUGGAAAGUUUCGGCGGUUGGGGAUGGACUCGCGGGUUAUCAGCUUGUUGGUGGGGUAGUUGCAUACCAAGGCUUUGGCGGGUAGCCGGCCUGAGAGGGUGGACGGGCACAAGGGGACUAAGAUAGGGACCAGUCUCGUACGGUGGGCAGCAGGGGGGAGUAUGGUCCAGUGGGCGGAAGCCUGAUGCGGAAGCCCCGCGUGCGGGAUGACGGCCUUCGGGUUGUGAACCGCAUUCGCUUGUGACGCAGCGUGUGUGACGGUAAUGAGUAAAGAAGCACCGGCUAACUACGUG